This 497-nucleotide ribosomal RNA is filed under the name uncultured bacterium. RNAcentral's name for it is "partial 16S ribosomal RNA". It matches the Rfam family "Bacterial small subunit ribosomal RNA", at positions 28 to 507 of the family's 1533-position model. The record is from RNAcentral.
GAUGAACGCUGGCGGCGUGCCUAAUACAUGCAAGUCGAGCGAACGGACGAGAAGCUUGCUUCUCUGAUGUUAGCGGCGGACGGGUGAGUAACACGUGGGUACUCUACCUAUAAGACGGGGAUAACUUCGGGAAACCGGAGCUAAUCCCGGAUAAUAUUUUGAACCGCAUGGUUCAAAAGUGAAAGACGGCCUUGCUGUAACUAAUCGAGGGAUCCCCGCUGCAUUAGCUAGUUGGUAAGGUAACGGCUUACCAAGGCAACGAUGCAUAGCCGACCUGAGAGGGUGAUCGGCCACACUGGAGCUGAGACGCGGUCCAGACUCCUACGGGAGGCAGCAGUAGGGAAUCUUCCGCAAUGGGCGAAAGCCUGACGGAGCAACGCCGCGUGAGUGAUGAAGGUCUUCGGAUCGUAAAACUCUGUUAUUAGGGAAGAACAUAUGUGUAAGUAACUGUGCACAUCUUGACGGUACCUAAUCAGAAAGCCACGGCUAACUACGUG